GAUGAACGCUGGCGGCGUGCCUAAUACAUGCAAGUCGAGCGAACAGAUAAGGAGCUUGCUCCUUUGACGUUAGCGGCGGACGGGUGAGUAACACGUGGGUAACCUACCUAUAAGACUGGAAUAACUCCGGGAAACCGGGGCUAAUGCCGGAUAACAUGUUGAACCGCAUGGUUCUACAGUGAAAGGCGGCUUUGCUGUCACUUAUAGAUGGACCCGUGCCGUAUUAGCUAGUUGGUGAGGUAACGGCUCACCAAGGCAACGAUACGUAGCCGACCUGAGAGGGUGAUCGGCCACACUGGAACUGAGACACGGUCCAGACUCCUACGGGAGGCAGCAGUAGGGAAUCUUCCGCAAUGGGCGAAAGCCUGACGGAGCAGCGCCGCGUGAGUGAUGAAGGUCUUCGGAUCGUAAAACUCUGUUAUUAGGGAAGAACAAAUGCGUAAGUAACUGUGCGCGUCUUGACGGUACCUAAUCAGAAAGCCACGGCUAACUACGUG
Molecule: ribosomal RNA, 497 nt
Filed under: uncultured bacterium
Lineage: Bacteria
Description: partial 16S ribosomal RNA
Rfam family: Bacterial small subunit ribosomal RNA
Source: RNAcentral